GAUGAAGAACGCAGCGAAAUGCGAUAAGUAAUGUGAAUUGCAGAAUUCCGUGAAUCAUCGAAUCUUUGAACGCACAUUGCGCCCUUUGGUAUUCCGAAGGGCAUGCCUGUUCGAGCGUCAUUUCACCACUCAAGCCUGGCUUGGUAUUGGGCGCCGCGGUCGAUCCGCGCGCCUCAAAGUCUCCGGCUGAGCUGUCCGUCUCUAAGCGUUGUGAUUUCAUUAAUCGCUUCGGAGUGCGGGCGGCCGCGGCCGUUAAAUCUUUCACAAGGUUGACCUCGGAUCAGGUAGGGAUACCCGCUGAACUUAAGCAUAUCAAUAAGCGGAGGA
Molecule: unclassified non-coding RNA, 327 nt
Filed under: soil metagenome
Description: partial contains 5.8S ribosomal RNA, internal transcribed spacer 2, and large subunit ribosomal RNA
Rfam family: 5.8S ribosomal RNA (bases 1-120)
Source: RNAcentral